AAACUUUUAACAAUGGAUCUCUUGGCUCUUGCAUCGAUGAAGAACGCAGCGAAAUGCGAUAGGUAAUAUGAAUUGCAGAAUUCCGUGAAUCAUCAAAUUUUUGAACGCAAAUUGCACUUCUUGGUAUUCCAAGGAGUACACAUGCUUGAGGGUCAGUU
This 158-nucleotide ribosomal RNA is filed under the name Dentiscutata savannicola. RNAcentral's name for it is "5.8S ribosomal RNA". It matches the Rfam family "5.8S ribosomal RNA". Rfam says of the family: 5.8S ribosomal RNA (5.8S rRNA) is a component of the large subunit of the eukaryotic ribosome. It is transcribed by RNA polymerase I as part of the 45S precursor that also contains 18S and 28S rRNA. Lineage: Eukaryota; Fungi; Glomeromycota; Glomeromycetes; Diversisporales; Gigasporaceae. The record is from RNAcentral.